Molecule: RNA transcript, 3960 nt
Organism: Pelmatolapia mariae (spotted tilapia)
Lineage: Eukaryota; Metazoa; Chordata; Actinopteri; Cichliformes; Cichlidae
Gene: lrrtm4l1
Gene name: leucine rich repeat transmembrane neuronal 4 like 1
Exons: 3
Source: RefSeq, a predicted model, not a curated record
AGUGCCCGUGCUUGCUUGUGUGCCUAGCGCCUCUGCUGCUCCGCUGGACGAUUGCGCAGAGGACACCUGGCGCACAGCCGUUCAUUGCAAGCGAUCCCAGUGGUAAAUGCUCGUUUUAACCUCUCAACUUUUGCAGCGUGACUGUCUUGUUUUUUUGGUUGCAGUUUUGUUUUAUUUUUCUUUUGUUUUUUUCUAAAGAUACCUGCUCCGAGAACAAGGGUCUAUCAGGGUAAAAGAACCCUGUAGAGCCAGGCGUUUGGCUUCCAACUUAGGGCUUGAUGACACGGCUAUUCGCGACAGGUCUGGAAAGUUACUUCGUGUGAGGAAGCAUGUGCGCAAACUUUAAAAUCUUUUUUAUAAUCGGGAGACAGUUUUUCAGAAUGAAGGCAGGUGAGUCACCCGCGGCGUGAGGGGCGAAAAGAGCUCCUCGGCUCUCCAGGUACUGGCAAGAAAAGACAAGAGAGAAGAAGUCGUGAUCUGUGCGGUGGAUAGCGCUACGGAGGAAACGGACCGAUGAGACAAUAUGGGUCCAUUGCUGUGUGAUGGACGACUGACACACCUCCUCUUCCCUUUGCUUCUUCUCUUGCGGGCUCCCCUGUUAUUCAGUUUUGGUGAGCGAACAUGCCCCAAUAGCUGCCGAUGUGAGGGAAAAACUGUCCAUUGUGAUUCAUCUGGAUUUUUAGAUGUUCCAGAAAACAUCUCAGUAGGCUGCCAGGGCCUUUCCCUGCGAUACAAUGAACUGCAUACGCUGCUACCAUAUCAGUUUGCUCACCUCAGCCAGCUUCUCUGGAUCUACUUAGACCACAAUCAGAUUUCAGUUGUUGACAGUCGAGCGUUCCAGGGGGUCCGCAGACUCAAAGAGCUCAUACUGAGCUCCAACAGGAUUACAGCCCUACACAAUUCAACAUUUCAUGGAAUUCCAAAUCUUCGAAGUCUGGACUUGUCCUACAACAAAUUAGAAAUCCUACAGCCAGGUCAAUUCCAUGGCUUACGAAAACUACAAAACCUUCACCUACGCUCCAAUGGUCUCUCCAACAUCCCAAUUCGAGCAUUUCUGGAGUGUCGAAGUUUGGAGUUUCUGGAUUUGGGUUACAAUCGAAUCAAAGCUCUUACCCGCACAACUUUUCUGGGUCUACAGAAGCUGAUGGAGUUACAUCUGGAACAUAACCAAUUCUCUCGGAUCAACUUUUUUUUGUUUCCACGUUUAGCCAACCUAAGAUCACUUUAUCUGCAGUGGAAUCGAAUUAGGGUGGUCAACCAGGGUCUGCCAUGGACAUGGUAUACACUGCAGAAGCUUGAUCUGUCUGGAAAUGAAAUUCAGACUCUGGACCCAGCUGUGUUUCACUGCUUGCCCAACCUGCAAGUCUUAAACCUGGAAUCCAACAAGCUGUCCAAUGUGUCUCAGGAGGCAGUGUCAGCGUGGAUCUCACUGACCUCCAUAAGUCUUGCUGGCAAUAUCUGGGAUUGUGGAACUGGGAUAUGCCCACUUGUUGCUUGGUUGAGAAAUUUUCGGGGUAGUAAAGACACAACAAUGAUAUGCAGCAGCCCAAAGUACCUCCAGGGAGAAAAAGUCAUGGAUGCUACAAGGAGCCAUGGUAUUUGUGAGGAAAUCGAUUACAUUCUGACUGAAACACCUUCACCAACGUCAGAGCUCAUUUCGGAAGCCACUGCCGAACCAACCUUUGGCCCCACAAGUGGCAUUCCACCUAUGCCACCGACCAGUACCCUUGGUCCUCUCCCACCAUUUAGACCUCGACCCAUUCCUCAUCCUACCUUUCCCGGGCAUAUGAGCAAAGAUCCCAGAGACUCAGUGGUUCGCCCUCGACCCACUCACAUACCACCCCCAGAGAUAGAGCACAUGACUCUGCACAAAGUGGUUGUGGGCAGCGUAGCACUCUUCUUCACCAUGUCGUUAAUCUUGACAAUUUUUUAUGUUUUGUGGCGGCGCUACCCAGGUGCAACCAGGUUGCUGCAGCAGAGAUCCAUGGUGGGACGGAAGCGUCGCAAAAAGAGUCCAGAGCCAGAACAGAACCUCAGCUCCCAGCUCCAAGAGUAUUACAUGAGCUACAAUCCUGCUGCAACACCGGAAGCAUUGGAGGUGCUAGGCAAUGGCACUGGUUCCUGCACUUGCACAAUUUCUGGCUCCAGGGAGUGUGAGGUAUGAUCGAUCGCAUCAGCCUAAAAAUAAAAACUCAAAAUCAAAAUACAAGACCCAACAGAGAGAAUGAGUAUACAUGUCCACGCCCCCUACCCGGUGCCUGGUUGGGAGAUUUGCCUACCAUCCAUUAACCCUCAAAAGGACUGCUUUCGGAUGAUGCAGCAAACCACAGAGACGCAAGGAGAGAGACAUAUGCAGAGAACCCAUCAGGAUCCUACUCCCAUAGUUCACAUUUAAGGACACACUUACAAUGGCAUUCCACGCUAACAAAGGCAACCACGGACCAACACAUGGAGAUACUAUUGUCUUUUUUUUUUUUUUUUUCUUAAAAUUUUCUAAUGUCUGUUUUUGGCCUGUGGUCUUUGGUCAUUGGCUUUGCUCCGUCCAUCACAUCGCUUCAUCACUACACAGAUACUGACACUGAUGAUUGUGAACAUACAAUCUUACUGUGUGUUGCACAGUAGACCUUUUGAUGAAAAGUCAUGAGAACUAACUGGAUGAUUAUGAACAACAACCAAGCUUAUUGUAUAGAUAUUAACAGCUUAUUGUCUCCAUGAGGACAACAAGGCACUGUACAAAUUCAAGAGGCUUUAAAAAGUGUAAACCGAGCAAUGAGUCAUCAAUGAAAAUGCACUGAACAAGUAAUGGUGAUUGCUCUGUUAACUAAUCUGUGUAUAAUUUAAAGUGGGCUUGCAUAUUUUCUUUCCAUAUGAAGCAUCUUUCUGUCAUUUUUCACUUUUUUACUUUUUUUUUUAAAGAAAGACUAUUCAAAGGCUAUGAUGUAAAUGUGCCUCACUGGAGCAGAAAAUUUAUGGAACGAGUCACUGAGUUUUUAAGCACCUGCCAGUAAAGAGGAAGUCUGUUGUCUGGUGGAAAUUAAGUAAGCAGCUGGAAUCUCCAUUUGAAGCUUGUGGAAAAUUGCCUGAAGAAAGCAAACUAUCCCCCAGCCAAUAACAUUUGGUGAAGAUGUUUGUUUAUUUGCUUUUUUUAAAAUUAUUUUUUUAAGUUGUCAUUAAUUGCAAUCAAACUUCGACUGUCUUGUACGAUUUGGAGGACAGCAAGGGCAAUCAAAAGCAAAUGAGGGGAUAAAAGAAAAAAAAAGGUCCUAUCAAGGAUAAAAUGUGAUUUUCUGAAAUUAUAAUGUCGUUAACGUUGUACUUUAUAUAUAUAAAUAUAUAUAUGUGUUUCUGCCGUUUUCAAUGACAAAUACCAAAGAGCCAAAUGGAUACUUCUUGGCUUUUGGCUCUCCCAAACAAGAGUCAUAACAGAUCCAGAAAUGGUUCUUUUAAAUGAAAUAACCCCCCCUCCCCCCUAAAAAAUCUUAAACUAGCCUCAACACCCCUGACGUACAGCAGUGCUCCAUUACUGAAUCGGCUUUUCUCAUGUGUAUAAUGUGUAUGUCUUUGUGAAAAGAAAAGAAAAAAAUCUUACAAUUACAGUCUUCAUAAGGAAGAUAACUCUGAGCACUGCUUUACAUUGUAUGACUUUUGUUUAAUACAUGCUUCACUUUCCUUAAGAUAAUCAGCCCGCCUCUCUCCUCAAAGGAGAUUGCAGAUGUUGCUGUGUGUAGUUCCUGCGUGUGCUUGUGUUUCAUUCGUUUUGAGUUUGACACACCGAGUUUUGGAUUGUUUGUUUUGGACCUCUCGACAUAACCUUUCUACGGCGGAAAAUGAUAAUUUUCUAUUGUAAAUUUAUGUCCUUCCUCCCUUGAAUUUGUUGAUAUUUAGUAAGCAGCUGUAUUCUUUAUUCACUUUCGACAGUAUGUUUUAUAAAGAAAAUAAUGACUUUAUUGGUGAGCAAUA